Molecule: ribosomal RNA, 659 nt
Filed under: Arthrobacter sp. TN105A
Lineage: Bacteria; Bacillati; Actinomycetota; Actinomycetes; Micrococcales; Micrococcaceae
Description: bacterial SSU rRNA
Rfam family: Bacterial small subunit ribosomal RNA
Source: RNAcentral
AGAGUUUGAUCAUGGCUCAGGAUGAACGCUGGCGGCGUGCUUAACACAUGCAAGUCGAACGAUGAUGCCAGCUUGCUGGUGGAUUAGUGGCGAACGGGUGAGUAACACGUGAGUAACCUGCCCUUGACUCUGGGAUAAGCCUGGGAAACUGGGUCUAAUACCGGAUAUGACCUUCCAUCGCAUGGUGGUUGGUGGAAAGCUUUUGUGGUUUUGGAUGGACUCGCGGCCUAUCAGCUUGUUGGUGGGGUAAUGGCCUACCAAGGCGACGACGGGUAGCCGGCCUGAGAGGGUGACCGGCCACACUGGGACUGAGACACGGCCCAGACUCCUACGGGAGGCAGCAGUGGGGAAUAUUGCACAAUGGGCGCAAGCCUGAUGCAGCGACGCCGCGUGAGGGAUGACGGCCUUCGGGUUGUAAACCUCUUUCAGUAGGGAAGAAGCGAAAGUGACGGUACCUGCAGAAGAAGCGCCGGCUAACUACGUGCCAGCAGCCGCGGUAAUACGUAGGGCGCAAGCGUUAUCCGGAAUUAUUGGGCGUAAAGAGCUCGUAGGCGGUUUGUCGCGUCUGCCGUGAAAGUCCGGGGCUCAACUCCGGAUCUGCGGUGGGUACGGGCAGACUAGAGUGAUGUAGGGGAGACUGGAAUUCCUGGUGUAGCGGU